UACGCAGGUGGCGAGCGUUGUCCGGAUUUAUUGGGCGUAAAGCGAGCGCAGGUGGUUUAAUAAGUCCGAUGUAAAAGGCAGUGGCUCAACCAUUGUGUGCAUUGGAAACUGUUAGACUUGAGUGCAGUAGAGGAGAGUGGAAUUCCAUGUGUAGCGGUGAAAUGCGUAGAUAUAUGGAGGAACACCGGUGGCGAAAGCGGCUCUCUGGACUGUAACUGACACUGAGGCUCGAAAGCGUGGGUAGCAAACAGG
This 252-nucleotide ribosomal RNA is filed under the name uncultured microorganism. RNAcentral's name for it is "partial 16S ribosomal RNA". It matches the Rfam family "Bacterial small subunit ribosomal RNA", at positions 524 to 776 of the family's 1533-position model. The record is from RNAcentral.